GCCUGGGUGGCUCAGUCGGUUAAGCGUCCGACUUUGGCUUAGGUCAUGAUCUCACAGUUCGUGGGUUCGAGUCCCACGUCGGGCU
This 85-nucleotide transfer RNA is filed under the name Felis catus (domestic cat). It matches the Rfam family "tRNA". Rfam says of the family: Transfer RNA (tRNA) molecules are approximately 80 nucleotides in length. Their secondary structure includes four short double-helical elements and three loops (D, anti-codon, and T loops). Lineage: Eukaryota; Metazoa; Chordata; Mammalia; Carnivora; Felidae. The record is from Rfam by way of RNAcentral.